This 2903-nucleotide ribosomal RNA is filed under the name Escherichia coli. RNAcentral describes it as "23S ribosomal RNA". It matches the Rfam family "Bacterial large subunit ribosomal RNA". Lineage: Bacteria; Pseudomonadati; Pseudomonadota; Gammaproteobacteria; Enterobacterales; Enterobacteriaceae. The record is from RNAcentral.
UUAAGCGACUAAGCGUACACGGUGGAUGCCCUGGCAGUCAGAGGCGAUGAAGGACGUGCUAAUCUGCGAUAAGCGUCGGUAAGGUGAUAUGAACCGUUAUAACCGGCGAUUUCCGAAUGGGGAAACCCAGUGUGAUUCGUCACACUAUCAUUAACUGAAUCCAUAGGUUAAUGAGGCGAACCGGGGGAACUGAAACAUCUAAGUACCCCGAGGAAAAGAAAUCAACCGAGAUUCCCCCAGUAGCGGCGAGCGAACGGGGAGCAGCCCAGAGCCUGAAUCAGUGUGUGUGUUAGUGGAAGCGUCUGGAAAGGCGCGCGAUACAGGGUGACAGCCCCGUACACAAAAAUGCACAUACUGUGAGCUCGAUGAGUAGGGCGGGACACGUGGUAUCCUGUCUGAAUAUGGGGGGACCAUCCUCCAAGGCUAAAUACUCCUGACUGACCGAUAGUGAACCAGUACCGUGAGGGAAAGGCGAAAAGAACCCCGGCGAGGGGAGUGAAAAAGAACCUGAAACCGUGUACGUACAAGCAGUGGGAGCACAGAGCAAUCUGUGUGACUGCGUACCUUUUGUAUAAUGGGUCAGCGACUUAUAUUCUGUAGCAAGGUUAACCGAAUAGGGGAGCCGAAGGGAAACCGAGUCUUAACUGGGCGUUAAGUUGCAGGGUAUAGACCCGAAACCCGGUGAUCUAGCCAUGGGCAGGUUGAAGGUUGGGUAACACUAACUGGAGGACCGAACCGACUAAUGUUGAAAAAUUAGCGGAUGACUUGUGGCUGGGGGUGAAAGGCCAAUCAAACCGGGAGAUAGCUGGUUCUCCCCGAAAGCUAUUUAGGUAGCGCCUCGUGAAUUCAUCUCCGGGGGUAGAGCACUGUUUCGGCAAGGGGGUCAUCCCGACUUACCAACCCGAUGCAAACUGCGAAUACCGGAGAAUGUUAUCACGGGAGACACACGGCGGGUGCUAACGUCCGUCGUGAAGAGGGAAACAACCCAGACCGCCAGCUAAGGUCCCAAAGUCAUGGUUAAGUGGGAAACGAUGUGGGAAGGCCCAGACAGCCAGGAUGUUGGCUUAGAAGCAGCCAUCAUUUAAAGAAAGCGUAAUAGCUCACUGGUCGAGUCGGCCUGCGCGGAAGAUGUAACGGGGCUAAACCAUGCACCGAAGCUGCGGCAGCGACGCUUAUGCGUUGUUGGGUAGGGGAGCGUUCUGUAAGCCUUUGAAGGUGUACUGUGAGGUAUGCUGGAGGUAUCAGAAGUGCGAAUGCUGACAUAAGUAACGAUAAAGCGGGUGAAAAGCCCGCUCGCCGGAAGACCAAGGGUUCCUGUCCAACGUUAAUCGGGGCAGGGUGAGUCGACCCCUAAGGCGAGGCCGAAAGGCGUAGUCGAUGGGAAACAGGUUAAUAUUCCUGUACUUGGUGUUACUGCGAAGGGGGGACGGAGAAGGCUAUGUUGGCCGGGCGACGGUUGUCCCGGUUUAAGCGUGUAGGCUGGUUUUCCAGGCAAAUCCGGAAAAUCAAGGCUGAGGCGUGAUGACGAGGCACUACGGUGCUGAAGCAACAAAUGCCCUGCUUCCAGGAAAAGCCUCUAAGCAUCAGGUAACAUCAAAUCGUACCCCAAACCGACACAGGUGGUCAGGUAGAGAAUACCAAGGCGCUUGAGAGAACUCGGGUGAAGGAACUAGGCAAAAUGGUGCCGUAACUUCGGGAGAAGGCACGCUGAUAUGUAGGUGAAGUCCCUCGCGGAUGGAGCUGAAAUCAGUCGAAGAUACCAGCUGGCUGCAACUGUUUAUUAAAAACACAGCACUGUGCAAACACGAAAGUGGACGUAUACGGUGUGACGCCUGCCCGGUGCCGGAAGGUUAAUUGAUGGGGUCAGCGCAAGCGAAGCUCUUGAUCGAAGCCCCGGUAAACGGCGGCCGUAACUAUAACGGUCCUAAGGUAGCGAAAUUCCUUGUCGGGUAAGUUCCGACCUGCACGAAUGGCGUAAUGAUGGCCAGGCUGUCUCCACCCGAGACUCAGUGAAAUUGAACUCGCUGUGAAGAUGCAGUGUACCCGCGGCAAGACGGAAAGACCCCGUGAACCUUUACUAUAGCUUGACACUGAACAUUGAGCCUUGAUGUGUAGGAUAGGUGGGAGGCUUAGAAGUGUGGACGCCAGUCUGCAUGGAGCCGACCUUGAAAUACCACCCUUUAAUGUUUGAUGUUCUAACGUUGACCCGUGAUCCGGGUUGCGGACAGUGUCUGGUGGGUAGUUUGACUGGGGCGGUCUCCUCCUAAAGAGUAACGGAGGAGCACGAAGGUUGGCUAAUCCUGGUCGGACAUCAGGAGGUUAGUGCAAUGGCAUAAGCCAGCUUGACUGCGAGCGUGACGGCGCGAGCAGGUGCGAAAGCAGGUCAUAGUGAUCCGGUGGUUCUGAAUGGAAGGGCCAUCGCUCAACGGAUAAAAGGUACUCCGGGGAUAACAGGCUGAUACCGCCCAAGAGUUCAUAUCGACGGCGGUGUUUGGCACCUCGAUGUCGGCUCAUCACAUCCUGGGGCUGAAGUAGGUCCCAAGGGUAUGGCUGUUCGCCAUUUAAAGUGGUACGCGAGCUGGGUUUAGAACGUCGUGAGACAGUUCGGUCCCUAUCUGCCGUGGGCGCUGGAGAACUGAGGGGGGCUGCUCCUAGUACGAGAGGACCGGAGUGGACGCAUCACUGGUGUUCGGGUUGUCAUGCCAAUGGCACUGCCCGGUAGCUAAAUGCGGAAGAGAUAAGUGCUGAAAGCAUCUAAGCACGAAACUUGCCCCGAGAUGAGUUCUCCCUGACUCCUUGAGAGUCCUGAAGGAACGUUGAAGACGACGACGUUGAUAGGCCGGAUGUGUAAGCGCAGCGAUGCGUUGAGCUAACCGGUACUAAUGAACCGUGAGGCUUAACCU